GGAGUUAGCCGGUGCUUCUUCUGCGAGUAACGUCACAGAUGUAAGGUAUUAACUUACACCCUUUCCUCCUCGCUGAAAGUGCUUUACAACCCGAAGGCCUUCUUCACACACGCGGCAUGGCUGCAUCAGGGUUUCCCCCAUUGUGCAAUAUUCCCCACUGCUGCCUCCCGUAGGAGUCUGGGCCGUGUCUCAGUCCCAGUGUGGCUGAUCAUCCUCUCAGACCAGCUAGGGAUCGUCGCCUAGGUGAGCCUUUACCUCACCUACUAGCUAAUCCCACCUGGGCUUAUCCAUCAGCGCAAGGCCCGAAGGUCCCCUGCUUUCCCCCGUAGGGCGUAUGCGGUAUUAGCAGUCGUUUCCAACUGUUAUCCCCCACAAAUGGGCAAAUUCCCAGGCAUUACUCACCCGUCCGCCGUUCGUCAUCUUCAAAAGCAAGCUUUUGAAAUGUUACCGCUCGACUUGCAUGUGUUAGGCCUGCCGCCAGCGUUCAAUCUGAGCCAUAAUCAAACUCUGA
Molecule: ribosomal RNA, 511 nt
Filed under: uncultured bacterium
Lineage: Bacteria
Description: partial 16S ribosomal RNA
Source: RNAcentral